UCAAACUUGGUCAUUUAGAGGAAGUAAAAGUCGUAACAAGGUUUCCGUAGGUGAACCUGCGGAAGGAUCAUUAUCGAUUCUGAAGGAUGUGCUGGCUUAAUUGCAUGUGCACUCCGAAAUCUUAUCCACCUGUGAACCUAUAGUAGUCAUUGGCAGAGAAGGGUUCACGCAAGUGUCCCUUUAAAGUCUUUGAUUACGUUUUUAUACACUCUUAAUAAUUUAAAGAAUGUUUAAUUGACUUGAUUAAACCCAAGUUAAAAUUUAAAACAACUUUCAACAAUGGAUCUCUUGGUUCUCGCAUCGAUGAAGAACGCAGC
Molecule: unclassified non-coding RNA, 317 nt
Filed under: uncultured fungus
Lineage: Eukaryota; Fungi
Description: partial contains small subunit ribosomal RNA, internal transcribed spacer 1, and 5.8S ribosomal RNA
Rfam family: Eukaryotic small subunit ribosomal RNA (bases 1-73)
Source: RNAcentral